GUGUUGUAUAAAAAGAGAGAAGCUUAACAUUCCCUUGAUAAGGAUGGAAGAGGUCCCAGUGACCUUUUCAACACAUAUAUGAUUAAGCCAUUGCCACCUACUCUGUGGCAACUAACCAUUUUUUUUC
This 127-nucleotide non-coding RNA is filed under the name Notamacropus eugenii (tammar wallaby). The record is from RNAcentral. Lineage: Eukaryota; Metazoa; Chordata; Mammalia; Diprotodontia; Macropodidae.